UACAGAGGGUGCAAGCGUUAAUCGGAGUUACUGGGCGUAAAGGGCGCGUAGGCGGUGAGGUAAGUGUGAUGUGAAAGCCCCGGGCUUAACCUGGGAAGUGCAUCGCAAACGACCUCACUGGAGUAUAAGAGAGGGUGGUGGAAUUUCCGGUGUAGCGGUGAAAUGCGUAGAGAUCGGAAGGAACGUCAAUGGCGAAGGCAGCCACCUGGCUUAAUACUGACGCUGAGGCGCGAAAGCGUGGGGAGCAAACAGG
Molecule: ribosomal RNA, 253 nt
Filed under: uncultured bacterium
Lineage: Bacteria
Description: partial 16S ribosomal RNA
Rfam family: Bacterial small subunit ribosomal RNA
Source: RNAcentral